This 434-nucleotide ribosomal RNA is filed under the name uncultured bacterium. Its description in RNAcentral is "partial 16S ribosomal RNA". It matches the Rfam family "Bacterial small subunit ribosomal RNA", at positions 29 to 507 of the family's 1533-position model. The record is from RNAcentral.
AGCGAACGCUGGCGGCAGGCCUAACACAUGCAAGUCGAACGAACCUUUCGGGGUUAGUGGCGGACGGGUGAGUAACACGUGGGAACGUGCCUUUAGGUUCGGAAUAACUCAGGGAAACUUGUGCUAAUACCGAAUGUGCCCUUCGGGGGAAAGAUUUAUCGCCUUUAGAGCGGCCCGCGUCUGAUUAGCUAGUUGGUUGAGGUAAUGGCUCACCAAGGCGACGAUCAGUAGCUGGUCUGAGAGGAUGAUCAGCCACAUUGGGACUGAGACACGGCCCAAACUCCUACGGGGGGCAGCAGUGGGGAAUCUUGCGCAAUGGGCGAAAGCCUGACGCAGCCAUGCCGCGUGAAUGAUGAAGGUCUUAGGAUUGUAAAAUUCUUUCACCGGGGACGAUAAUGACGGUACCCGGAGAAGAAGCCCCGGCUAACUUCGUG